This 647-nucleotide ribosomal RNA is filed under the name uncultured Gammaproteobacteria bacterium. RNAcentral describes it as "bacterial SSU rRNA". It matches the Rfam family "Bacterial small subunit ribosomal RNA", at positions 63 to 698 of the family's 1533-position model. The record is from RNAcentral. Lineage: Bacteria; Pseudomonadati; Pseudomonadota; Gammaproteobacteria.
CGAACGGUACCACAGAGAGCUUGCUCUCGGGUGACGAGUGGCGGACGGGUGAGUAAUGUCUGGGAAACUGCUGAUGGAGGGGGAUAACUACUGGAAACGGUAGCUAAUACCGCAUAACGUCGCAAGACCAAAGAGGGGGACCUUCGGGCCUCUUGCCAUCAGAUGUGCCCAGAUGGGAUUAGCUAGUAGGUGGGGUAAUGGCUCACCUAGGCGACGAUCCCUAGCUGGUCUGAGAGGAUGACCAGCCACACUGGAACUGAGACACGGUCCAGACUCCUACGGGAGGCAGCAGUGGGGAAUAUUGCACAAUGGGCGCAAGCCUGAUGCAGCCAUGCCGCGUGUAUGAAGAAGGCCUUCGGGUUGUAAAGUACUUUCAGCGGGGAGGAAGGUGUUGUGGUUAAUAACCGCAGCAAUUGACGUUACCCGCAGAAGAAGCACCGGCUAACUCCGUGCCAGCAGCCGCGGUAAUACGGAGGGUGCAAGCGUUAAUCGGAAUUACUGGGCGUAAAGCGCACGCAGGCGGUCUUGUUCAAGUCGGAUGUGAAAUCCCCGGGCUCAACCUGGGAACUGCAUUUCGAAACUGGCAGGCUAGAGUCUUGUAAGAGGGGGGUAGAAUUCCAGGUGUAGCGGUGAAAUGCGUAGAGAUC